GCAUGCAAGUCGAACGGUACGCAUGGUGCUUGCACUGUGCUGAGAGUGGCGAACUGGUGAGUAACACGUAGGUGAUCUACCUUGAGGCCUGGGAUAGCCUGUGGAAACACAGGGUAAGACCGGAUGAGCCCCUGUACUUGCGGGUAGAGGGGGAAAGGUGCUAUGGCACCGCCUUAAGAUGAGCCUGCGUCCCAUUAGUUAGUUGGUGGGGUAAAGGCCUACCAAGGCGACGAUGGGUAGCCGGCCUGAGAGGGUGAUCGGCCACACUGGGACUGAGACACGGCCCAGACUCCUACGGGAGGCAGCAGCUAAGAAUCUUCCGCAAUGGACGAAAGUCUGACGGAGCGACGCCGCGUGAACGAAGAAGGCCGGAAGGUUGUAAAGUUCUUUUGCGGGUGAAGAAUAAGGCGAGGAGGGAAUGCCUCGCUGAUGACGUUAGCCUGUGAAUAAGCCCCGGCUAAUUACGUGCCAGCAGCCGCGGUAACACGUAAGGGGCGAGCGUUGUUCGGAAUUAUUGGGCGUAAAGGGCGUGUAGGCUGUUUUGUAAGCCUGGUGUGAAAGUGCACGGCUUAACUGUGUAUGUGCGCUGGGAACUGCAAGACUAGAGUCCGGAAGGGGGAGGUAGAAUUCCUGGUGUAGGGGUGAAAUCUGUAGAUAUCAGGAAGAAUACCGGUGGCGAAGGCGACCUCCUGGUCCUGGACUGACGCUGAGGCGCGAAAGCGUGGGGAGCGAACAGGAUUAGAUACCCUGGUAGUCCACGCUGUAAACGAUGUGCACUAGGUGUUGGGGCAAGAGCUUCAGUGCCGAAGCGAACGCGAUAAGUGCACCGCCUGGGGAGUAUGCUCGUAAGGGUGAAACUCAAAGGAAUUGACGGGGGCCCGCACAAGCGGUGGAGUAUGUGGUUUAAUUCGAUGAUACGCGAGGAACCUUACUAGGGCUUGACAUAUACCGGGAGCCGUGAGAGAUCACGGUGCCCCUUUGGGGCCGGUAUACAGGUGCUGCAUGGCUGUCGUCUAGCUCGUGCUGUGAAGUGUU
Molecule: ribosomal RNA, 1035 nt
Filed under: uncultured organism
Description: bacterial SSU rRNA
Rfam family: Bacterial small subunit ribosomal RNA
Source: RNAcentral